Non-coding RNA from Rhopilema esculentum, 316 nucleotides. The record is from RefSeq and is a predicted model, not a curated record. NCBI's taxonomy places the organism in Eukaryota, Metazoa, Cnidaria, Scyphozoa, Rhizostomeae, Rhizostomatidae.
UCGUGCUUUUGACGAUCUUCCUUUUCGUUUUAGUAGCUACGUACGGUACACGCGCUGCUGCCCGUUUCUUUGGUUCUCCGAUGGCUGCUGGCUGUACUCCUUCUUCUCUGGCAUCAGAAUCGAUGGUAUGCGAAUACAAAUGAACGAUCGGAUUCACUGACAUUUUGGUACAGCAAAUCAAAGAGCGUUUCAAGCAAUAAUUAUGACGCAGACGUGAUCCUCAACCCCUUCGAAACGAAAUUUAUGGCAUUUAUGCUGGUGAUAAAUCAAACAAUAAAACAAGAAUAGAACUUGACUAUGGAGAAGAGGACUUGAG